RNAcentral lists this ribosomal RNA (501 nucleotides) under uncultured bacterium. Its description in RNAcentral is "partial 16S ribosomal RNA". It matches the Rfam family "Bacterial small subunit ribosomal RNA", at positions 29 to 523 of the family's 1533-position model. The record is from RNAcentral.
AUUGAACGCUGGCGGCAUGCCUUACACAUGCAAGUCGAACGGCAGCACGGGUGCUUGCACCUGGUGGCGAGUGGCGAACGGGUGAGUAAUACAUCGGAACGUACCUUAUCGUGGGGGAUCACGCAGCGAAAGCUGUGCUAAUACCGCAUACGCCCUGAGGGGGAAAGCGGGGGAUCGCAAGACCUCGCGCGAUUCGAGCGGCCGAUGCCUGAUUAGCUUGUUGGUGGGGUAAAAGCCCACCAAGGCGACGAUCAGUAGCUGGUCUGAGAGGACGAUCAGCCACACUGGGACUGAGACACGGCCCAGACUCCUACGGGAGGCAGCAGUGGGGAAUUUUGGACAAUGGGGGCAACCCUGAUCCAGCAAUGCCGCGUGAGUGAAGAAGGCCUUCGGGUUGUAAAGCUCUUUUGUCAGGGAAGAAACACCGGCUCUAACACAGUCCGGGAAUGACGGUACCUGAAGAAUAAGCACCGGCUAACUACGUGCCAGCAGCCGCAGUAA